AUGAACGCUGCGGCGUGCCUCAUACAUGCAAGUCGAGCGAACAGACGAGGAGCUUGCUCCUCUUACGUUAGCGGCGGACGGGUGAGUAACACGUGGAUAACCUACCUAUAAGACUGGGAUAACUUCGGGAAACCGGAGCUAAUACCGGAUAAUAUAUUGAACCGCAUGGUUCAAUAGUUAAAGACGGUUUUGCUGUCACUUAUAGAUGGAUCCGCGCCGCAUUAGCUAGUUGGUAAGGUAACGGCUUACCAAGGCGACGAUGCGUAGCCGACCUGAGAGGGUGAUCGGCCACACUGGAACUGAGACACGGUCCAGACUCCUACGGGAGGCAGCAGUAGGGAAUCUUCCGCAAUGGGCGAAAGCCUGACGGAGCAACGCCGCGUGAGUGAUGAAGGUCUUCGGAUCGUAAAACUCUGUUAUUAGGGAAGAACAAAUGUGUAAGUAACUAUGCACGUCUUGACGGUACCUAAUCAGAAAGCCACGGCUAACUACGUG
This 495-nucleotide ribosomal RNA is filed under the name uncultured bacterium. Its description in RNAcentral is "partial 16S ribosomal RNA". It matches the Rfam family "Bacterial small subunit ribosomal RNA", at positions 29 to 507 of the family's 1533-position model. The record is from RNAcentral.